RNAcentral lists this ribosomal RNA (613 nucleotides) under uncultured bacterium. RNAcentral describes it as "bacterial SSU rRNA". It matches the Rfam family "Archaeal small subunit ribosomal RNA", at positions 365 to 830 of the family's 1478-position model. The record is from RNAcentral.
GUGUGAUAAGGUAACUCUGAGUGCUUAUCUUUUGGUAGGCUUUUGCCAAGAGUAAAUUACGAAAAUGGGACAUUUUCGAAUGUAACCCAUUCGGCUUACAUAUCUUGGCGAAUGAGUGGUGGGCAAGACUGGUGCCAGCCGCCGCGGUAACACCAGCGCCACAAGUGGGAAUCGUGAUUAUUGGGCCUAAAGCGUCCGUAGCCGGUUUAUCAACUCUUUUGUGAAAUCGUUGAUUUGAAUUUAACGGCGUGCGAAAGAAACUGUUAAACUUGGAACCAGGAGGAGUCAGAAGUAUUUUUGAGGUAGCGGUAAAAUGUUAUAAUCUCAAAAGGACUACCGGUGGCGAAGGCGUCUGACUAGAAUGGAUUCGACGGUGAGGGACGAAAGCCAGGGGAGCAAUCCGGAUUAGAUACGAGAAGAUUUCUUACAGAAAUCGUCUGGAAUUAGCUCGUAAGAUUGUCACUACAUUACUUUACGAGUUGAUGAAAGAAUAACGAUGAAGUCUUACUCGCUAACUACCCGAGUAGUCCUGGCCGUAAACGUUGCGAGCUAGGUGUUGCACAUUCUCCGUGAAUGUGCAGUAUCGAAGCGAAGGUGCUAAGCUCGCCGCCUG